Molecule: small nuclear RNA, 132 nt
Filed under: Cebus imitator (Panamanian white-faced capuchin)
Lineage: Eukaryota; Metazoa; Chordata; Mammalia; Primates; Cebidae
Description: U1 spliceosomal RNA (ENSCCAG00000001871.1)
Rfam family: U1 spliceosomal RNA
About the family: U1 is a small nuclear RNA (snRNA) component of the spliceosome (involved in pre-mRNA splicing). Its 5' end forms complementary base pairs with the 5' splice junction, thus defining the 5' donor site of an intron.
Source: RNAcentral
AAAAUUGCCUAGCACGGGAGAUACCAUGAUCCAUUGCACUCUGGAUGUGCUGGCCCCUGUGAUUUCUCCCGAUGUGGGAAACUGGACUGCAAAAUUUGUGGUAGAGGGGAACUGCGUUUGAGCUUUCCCUUG